GAGAGGCGAACUGGUGAGUAACACGUGGGAAACCUGCCCAGAAGCGGGGGAUAACACCUGGAAACAGAUGCUAAUACCGCAUAACAACUUGGACCGCAUGGUCCGAGUUUGAAAGAUGGCUUCGGCUAUCACUUUUGGAUGGUCCCGCGGCGUAUUAGCUAGAUGGUGAGGUAACGGCUCACCAUGGCAAUGAUACGUAGCCGACCUGAGAGGGUAAUCGGCCACAUUGGGACUGAGACACGGCCCAAACUCCUACGGGAGGCAGCAGUAGGGAAUCUUCCACAAUGGACGAAAGUCUGAUGGAGCAACGCCGCGUGAGUGAAGAAGGGUUUCGGCUCGUAAAACUCUGUUGUUAAAGAAGAACAUAUCUGAGAGUAACUGUUCAGGUAUUGACGGUAUUUAACCAGAAAGCCACGGCUAACUACGUGCCAGCAGCCGCGGUAAUACGUAGGUGGCAAGCGUUGUCCGGAUUUAUUGGGCGUAAAGCGAGCGCAGGCGGUUUUUUAAGUCUGAUGUGAAAGCCUUCGGCUCAACCGAAGAAGUGCAUCGGAAACUGGGAAACUUGAGUGCAGAAGAGGACAGUGGAACUCCAUGUGUAGCGGUGAAAUGCGUAGAUAUAUGGAAGAACACCAGUGGCGAAGGCGGCUGUCUGGUCUGUAACUGACGCUGAGGCUCGAAAGUAUGGGUAGCAAACAGGAUUAGAUACCCUGGUAGUCCAUACCGUAAACGAUGAAUGCUAAGUGUUGGAGGGUUUCCGCCCUUCAGUGCUGCAGCUAACGCAUUAAGCAUUCCGCCUGGGGAGUACGGCCGCAAGGCUGAAACUCAAAGGAAUUGACGGGGGCCCGCACAAGCGGUGGAGCAUGUGGUUUAAUUCGAAGCUACGCGAAGAACCUUACCAGGUCUUGACAUACUAUGCAAAUCUAAGAGAUUAGACGUUCCCUUCGGGGACAUGGAUACAGGUGGUGCAUGGUUGUCGUCAGCUCGUGUCGUGAGAUGUUGGGUUAAGUCCCGCAACGAGCGCAACCCUUAUUAUCAGUUGCCAGCAUUAAGUUGGGCACUCUGGUGAGACUGCCGGUGACAAACCGGAGGAAGGUGGGGAUGACGUCAAAUCAUCAUGCCCCUUAUGACCUGGGCUACACACGUGCUACAAUGGAUGGUACAACGAGUUGCGAACUCGCGAGAGUAAGCUAAUCUCUUAAAGCCAUUCUCAGUUCGGAUUGUAGGCUGCAACUCGCCUACAUGAAGUCGGAAUCGCUAGUAAUCGCGGAUCAGCAUGCCGCGGUGAAUACGUUCCCGGGCCUUGUACACACCCCCCGUCACACCAUGAGAGUUUGUAACACCCAAAGUCGGUGGGGUAACCUUUUAGGAACCAGCC
Molecule: ribosomal RNA, 1375 nt
Filed under: Lactiplantibacillus plantarum
Lineage: Bacteria; Bacillati; Bacillota; Bacilli; Lactobacillales; Lactobacillaceae
Description: Lactobacillus plantarum 16S ribosomal RNA
Rfam family: Bacterial small subunit ribosomal RNA
Source: RNAcentral